CAUGCACCAGUGGGGUCCCUCAGCCUGGCCUGUGCCCUCUUGCAAUCUGGGACCCCUCAGGGGAUGUCAGAGAGCCGGUUUUGGCCUGAUCCCGCAGGCCAGGCCGAGGGACCCCACUGGUGCACG
This 126-nucleotide microRNA precursor is filed under the name Myotis brandtii (Brandt's bat). RNAcentral's name for it is "mir-9193 microRNA precursor family". It matches the Rfam family "mir-9193 microRNA precursor family". Lineage: Eukaryota; Metazoa; Chordata; Mammalia; Chiroptera; Vespertilionidae. The record is from Rfam by way of RNAcentral.